RNAcentral lists this ribosomal RNA (497 nucleotides) under uncultured bacterium. Its description in RNAcentral is "partial 16S ribosomal RNA". It matches the Rfam family "Bacterial small subunit ribosomal RNA", at positions 28 to 507 of the family's 1533-position model. The record is from RNAcentral.
GAUGAACGCUGGCGGCGUGCCUAAUACAUGCAAGUCGAGCGAAAAGACGAGGCGCUUGCUCCUCGGACGAUAGGGGAGGACGGGUGAAAAACACGUGGAAAACCUACCUAUAAGACGGGGAACACUUCGGGACACCGGAGCAAACACCGGAUAAUCUCUUGAACCGCAGGGGUGGAUAGUGAAAGUCGGUUUUGCGGUCACGUAUCGAUGGAUACGCGCCGCAUUAGCUAGUUGGUGCGGUAAAGGCCUAUCAAGGCAACUAUGCGUAUCCGACCGCAUGGGGUGGUAGCCCACCCUGGAACUUAGACACGGUCCAGACUCCUGCGGUAGGCAGCAGUAGGGAAUCUUCCGCAGUGGUCGGAAGCCUUGCGGAGCAACGCCGCGUGAGUUAUGAAGGUCUUCGGAUCGUAAAACUCUGUUAUUAGUUAAGAACCAAUUUGUAAGUAACUAUGCACGUCUUGACGGUACCUAAUCAGAAAGCCACGGCUAACUACGUG